This 86-nucleotide transfer RNA is filed under the name Dermabacter sp. RNAcentral describes it as "tRNA-Leu". It matches the Rfam family "tRNA". From Rfam's summary of the family: Transfer RNA (tRNA) molecules are approximately 80 nucleotides in length. The record is from RNAcentral. Lineage: Bacteria; Bacillati; Actinomycetota; Actinomycetes; Micrococcales; Dermabacteraceae.
GUCCGGGUGGCGGAAGAGGUAGACGCACUAGCUUGAGGUGCUAGUCCCCGCUUAAGGGCGUGGGGGUUCAAGUCCCCCCUCGGACA